ACCGAUAGCGAACAAGUACCGUGAGGGAAAGAUGAAAAGAACUUUGAAAAGAGAGUCAAACAGUACGUGAAAUUGUUGAAAGGGAAACGAUUAAAGUCAGUCGUACUGAUGGGGAAUCAACCUUUUGAGUGUGGAUUCGUGGGAUUCAGAGAGUCUUUGUCCUUGCGAUAUUCGCGUUUUUUUGGUGCACUUCCUCGUUUGUAGGUUAGCAUCGGUUUUGACCGUUAUAAAAUG
This 234-nucleotide ribosomal RNA is filed under the name uncultured Glomus. Its description in RNAcentral is "partial 25S ribosomal RNA". It matches the Rfam family "Eukaryotic large subunit ribosomal RNA", at positions 333 to 524 of the family's 3401-position model. Lineage: Eukaryota; Fungi; Glomeromycota; Glomeromycetes; Glomerales; Glomeraceae. The record is from RNAcentral.